AAAUUACCGAGAGCAGAAAAUUGUACACUUUCUCGCCCGUGUUAUGGAAACUUGUCAUCAGGGUUAUCCAUGAUAGUAUAUUAAAAGCCUAGAUGACAGGGUUGAUAUCAAAAGUAAUAUAUGCAAUUUAUGGUAGUCAUAAUACUUACACUAAAUACCAAGAAAAUAGAAAGAAAUAUAUUUUUAUUUAAAGUAGUAGACGAAUUAAAAAAGAAUUGGCAAUUUGAUAAUAGCUACCAUAGAAUAUUUGAAAAAUGGUUUGUACUUAAAUGUUUGAAGGAAACGUUAUUUUGAAUGGAGCGGGAGUAUAUAGUAAAAAUGGAUAGACACAGAGUUGAUUUUUCUUCUUAUUGCUCACACGUGCGGUUUACCAGAAAUGACUUGAAUAUGACGUUGGGCUGCAAACUUUUUGAUAGGUAUCUAAUUGCCAAGGAAACAAUAAAAUGUAUUAACAUCGCUGAGCGGUGCUUGGAAGAAAAACUAUAUACAAGUUACACAGGCUGUGACGUCAGAAACAAAGAAUAGGCGAAAGAAAGGAAAACCAAAGCAUUUGGAGACUUAUAAUUAUGCACAAGUUACUUUGCGCACAAAGGUUUGCUUAUUUGCUGUGCUGACGUUAUAGCCGAUUCGAUCAAAUUCGCCAAAAACAAAGUGGCAGUUUGGGGAUGCGCCGCAUUUGUUUUCUCUAUAUCGGACAACCUGACGUUCACUUUGUAUAAAUGGCAAAUUUAGGGACAAAUUGCCUGACAACUUGCCCGUAUAAACCUUGAGUUAAAAAAACGCGAGUUAGAUCGAUAACAUCGUUUAUCAUCACGAAUCCAAGUAUUACUAUACUUUUACGAGCAUUAUAAAAUUGGCUAUUUUGUAAGACAAACAUUCCUUAUUUUCUCUAUGCAUUUUUAAAUUUCAUUACGAUGUUAAAAAAAACGGAAUAUUUAAAUUGAACAUUUAAUCAGUUUAAGUGGAGUUUGCCACAUUCGUGUUAUGGUAAGAACUUAAAUGUUAGAAUCAACUUUUAUUGUUUAAACCCACCGGAAGACUAGAGCAAUAAAAGGAAUGUAUAGUAUUCUGAUAUCCAUUAGUUUAUUUGUUUCUUCUGAACUAACGUUUCCCUUGUAGGAAAAACGCCAAUUGCACUAGUUGGAGUUGAAGUGAGUAUUUAUGAAUGCAUCUAU
Long non-coding RNA from Anastrepha ludens (Mexican fruit fly), 1175 nucleotides. RefSeq lists it as uncharacterized. NCBI's taxonomy places the organism in Eukaryota, Metazoa, Arthropoda, Insecta, Diptera, Tephritidae. The transcript has 3 exons. The record is from RefSeq and is a predicted model, not a curated record.